This 452-nucleotide ribosomal RNA is filed under the name uncultured cyanobacterium. Its description in RNAcentral is "bacterial SSU rRNA". It matches the Rfam family "Bacterial small subunit ribosomal RNA", at positions 28 to 524 of the family's 1533-position model. Lineage: Bacteria; Bacillati; Cyanobacteriota. The record is from RNAcentral.
GAUGAACGCUGGCGGUAUGCUUAACACAUGCAAGUCGAACGGUCACUUCGGUGAUAGUGGCGGACGGGUGAGUAACGCGUGAAAAUCUGUCUUCAGGUCGGGGACAACAGUUAGAAAUGACUGCUAAUGCCGGAUGUGCCGAAAGGUGAAAGAUUUAUUGCCUGAAAAAGAGCUCGCGUCAGAUUAGCUAGUAGGUGGUGUAAGAGACUACCUAGGCGACGAUCUGUAGCUGGUCUGAGAGGACGAUCAGCCACACUGGAACUGAGACACGGUCCAGACUCCUACGGGAGGCAGCAGUGGGGAAUUUUCCGCAAUGGGCGAAAGCCUGACGGAGCAAUACCGCGUGAGGGACGAAGGCUUUUGGGUCGUAAAACCUCUUUUAUUAGGGAAGAUUUCAGGACGGUACCUAAUGAAUAAGCAUCGGCUAACUCUGUGCCAGCAGCCGCGGUAAU